This 253-nucleotide ribosomal RNA is filed under the name uncultured bacterium. Its description in RNAcentral is "partial 16S ribosomal RNA". It matches the Rfam family "Bacterial small subunit ribosomal RNA", at positions 524 to 776 of the family's 1533-position model. The record is from RNAcentral.
UACAGAGGGGGCGAGCGUUAUUCGGAAUUAUUGGGCGUAAAGGGCGCGUAGGCGGCCUGGCAAGUGGAAGGUGAAAUCCCUCGGCUUAACCGAGGAACUGCCCUCCAAACUGCUUGGCUUGAGUCCGGGAGAGGUGAGUGGAAUUCCCAGUGUAGCGGUGGAAUGCGCAGAUAUCAGGAGGAACACCGAUGGCGAAGGCAGGUCACUGGGCCGCAACUGACGCUGAGGAGCGAAAGCAUGGGGAGCGAACAGG